CGUGAGGAACCUGCCUUUCAGAGGGGGGACAACAGCUGGAAACGGCUGCUAAUACCGCAUAACACAUAGGUGUCGCAUGGCAUUUAUGUCAAAGAUUUAUCGCUGAGAGAUGGCCUCGCGUCUGAUUAGCUAGUUGGUAGGGUAACGGCCUACCAAGGCGACGAUCAGUAGCCGGACUGAGAGGUUGGCCGGCCACAUUGGGACUGAGAUACGGCCCAGACUCCUACGGAAGGCAGCAG
This 239-nucleotide ribosomal RNA is filed under the name uncultured bacterium. RNAcentral's name for it is "partial 16S ribosomal RNA". It matches the Rfam family "Bacterial small subunit ribosomal RNA", at positions 116 to 354 of the family's 1533-position model. The record is from RNAcentral.